Molecule: ribosomal RNA, 383 nt
Filed under: uncultured bacterium
Lineage: Bacteria
Description: bacterial SSU rRNA
Rfam family: Bacterial small subunit ribosomal RNA
Source: RNAcentral
GACGAACGCUGGCGGCGUGCUUAACACAUGCAAGUCGAGCGGUAAGGCCCUUUCGGGGGUACACGAGCGGCGAACGGGUGAGUAACACGUGGGUGACCUGCCCUCAGCUCUGGGAUAAGCCUGGGAAACCGGGUCUAAUACUGGAUAUGACUCCAUGACGCAUGUUGUGGGGCGGAAAGCCUUGUGCGGCUGAGGAUGGGCCCGCGGCCUAUCAGCUUGUUGGUGGGGUGANGGCCUACCAAGGCGACGACGGGUAGCCGGCCUGAGAGGGCGACCGGCCACACUGGGACUGAGACACGGCCCAGACUCCUACGGGAGGCAGCAGUGGGGAAUCUUGCGCAAUGGGCGAAAGCCUGACGCAGCGACGCCGCGUGAGGGAUGAC